Molecule: long non-coding RNA, 124 nt
Organism: Sander lucioperca (pikeperch)
Lineage: Eukaryota; Metazoa; Chordata; Actinopteri; Perciformes; Percidae
Exons: 3
Source: RefSeq, a predicted model, not a curated record
ACAGUUAAAUAACAAACAAGAGCAGGGGCGUCAAACUCAAUGUCACUAAGGGCCACACUGGAAAAUGACAAUCACAUCAAGAGCCAGACAUGUUUAGUUUAUUGACAUGCUUUUAUUUCAUGGA